Non-coding RNA from Eumeta japonica, 112 nucleotides. Lineage: Eukaryota; Metazoa; Arthropoda; Insecta; Lepidoptera; Psychidae. The record is from the annotation of a GenBank genome assembly.
AACGUCCAUACCACGGCGAAUACGGCGGUUCCCGUCCGAUCAUCGAAGUUAAGCAGCGUCGGACGAGGUCAGUACUUCGAUGGGUGACCGCCUGGAAACACCGCGUGAUGUU